RNAcentral lists this ribosomal RNA (233 nucleotides) under uncultured bacterium. RNAcentral's name for it is "partial 16S ribosomal RNA". It matches the Rfam family "Bacterial small subunit ribosomal RNA", at positions 100 to 334 of the family's 1533-position model. The record is from RNAcentral.
CGGCACGGGUGAGUAAUACAUCGGAACGUGUCUUCUAGUGGGGGAUAACUGCCCGAAAGGGCAGCUAAUACCGCAUGAGACCUGAGGGUGAAAGCGGGGGAUCGUAAGACCUCGCGCUGGAAGAGCGGCCGAUGUCCGAUUAGCUAGUUGGUGAGGUAAAGGCUCACCAAGGCGACGAUCGGUAGCUGGUCUGAGAGGACGACCAGCCACACUGGGACUGAGACACGGCCCGG